CUAAUAUUUCAUUGAUGUACAUAAUUAGUUACUCCAAUUUAACUACAUAUGGUAGCUCACACGCAUUGUGUAAUGACCUGAUUCUACCUAGGCUUUAAAAACCUAGUUUAGAAUGCGGCUCAAGAACACUCGCUUUAGUGUUCAAAUCUUCACAACACCAAUGUUCUAUAUUAUGCCAGCUAGGAAACUAGGCCAUAGAAAAUAAGUAUAAAGGGGUGGCAAAAGGUGGUGCCAGCAGUCGCGGUUAUACCAAUACCCCAAGCUAAUUUAGGCAAACUGGGGUAGUUUUUAUCUCUGGGCUAUAAAAUUAACUUUUAGCGUAAAAACCAAAUUACAACUAAACCCUAUCUAGCCAUACCUGAACUCCCCCAACAAACCAUGACCUCAGAACUCGGAUUAGAUACCCGACUACUGUAUGGCACAACAUAUAGAAGAAUACUACGAGCGAAAGCUUAAACCUCAAACAAUGUGGCGGUGCUUUAUUCCUUAUCAGGGGAUCCUGUGGCUUAAUUCGAUAAUCCACGAAAAACCUAAGCUAUUCUUGUAUACAGCUUGUGUACGGCCGUUUAUGCUUGCUCGCAAAAGAAAAUAAAGGAAGCAAUGGGAGUUACUACCCAAAAAUUCAGGUGACAUACAGCCAAUGAAAAGCAGAUCCAUGGGAUACAAAUAAACAUACUACCAAAUUUAAAGUUUAGAACUUUAAUGAAGGAGGACUUGAAAGUAAGAUUCAGCUUUUAGAAAAAGAAUCUGAACAAGAACUAAAGCGCGCACAAAUCGCCCGUCACUCCGACAAUAAAGUGGGAUAAGUCGUAACAUAGUAGGGGUAAUGGAAAUUGCCCCUAUCACA
Molecule: non-coding RNA, 847 nt
Filed under: Pyganodon grandis (giant floater mussel)
Lineage: Eukaryota; Metazoa; Mollusca; Bivalvia; Unionida; Unionidae
Source: RNAcentral